RNAcentral lists this ribosomal RNA (875 nucleotides) under Kotlabaea danuviana. Its description in RNAcentral is "eukaryotic LSU rRNA". It matches the Rfam family "Eukaryotic large subunit ribosomal RNA", at positions 77 to 969 of the family's 3401-position model. The record is from RNAcentral. Lineage: Eukaryota; Fungi; Ascomycota; Pezizomycetes; Pezizales; Pyronemataceae.
GCCUUAGUAACUGCGAGUGAAGCGGCAAAAGCUCAAAUUUGAAAUCUGGCGUCUUUGACGUCCGAAUUGUAAUUUGGAGAGACAUCUUCGGAGUAGACGCCGUCCUAAGUUCCUUGGAACAGGACGUCACAGAGGGUGAGAAUCCCGUGCCUGGAUGGCUGUUCUACUUCAUGUGAAGUGUCUUCGACGAGUCGAGUUGUUUGGGAAUGCAGCUCAAAAUGGGAGGUAAAUUUCUUCUAAAGCUAAAUAUUGGCGAGAGACCGAUAGCGCACAAGUAGAGUGAUCGAAAGAUGAAAAGCACUUUGAAAAGAGAGUUAAAAAGUACGUGAAAUUGUUGAAAGGGAAGCGCUUGAGACCAGACUCGAUCAGUGGUGAUCAGCGGUGCUUCUGUACCGUGCACUUGCCAUUGAUUGGGCCAGCAUCGGUUUAGACGGCGGGAUAAAGACCUAAGGAAUGUGGCUCCUCUCGGGGAGUGUUAUAGCCUUGGGUGCAAUGCCGCCAGUCUGGACCGAGGACCGCGCUUCGGCUAGGAUGCUGGCGUAAUGGUCUUCAGCGACCCGUCUUGAAACACGGACCAAGGAGUCUAACAUCUAUGCGAGUGUUCGGGUGGAAAACCCUUGCGCGUAAUGAAAGUGAACGGAGGUGAGAACACUUCGGUGUGCAUCAUCGACCGAUCCUGAUGUCUUCGGAUGGAUUUGAGUAUGAGCAUAGCUGUUGGGACCCGAAAGAUGGUGAACUAUGCCUGAAUAGGGUGAAGCCAGAGGAAACUCUGGUGGAGGCUCGCAGCGGUUCUGACGUGCAAAUCGAUCGUCAAAUUUGGGUAUAGGGGCGAAAGACUAAUCGAACCAUCUAGUAGCUGGUUCCUGCCGAAGUUU